This 257-nucleotide ribosomal RNA is filed under the name uncultured Atopobium sp. RNAcentral's name for it is "partial 16S ribosomal RNA". It matches the Rfam family "Bacterial small subunit ribosomal RNA", at positions 99 to 355 of the family's 1533-position model. The record is from RNAcentral. Lineage: Bacteria; Bacillati; Actinomycetota; Coriobacteriia; Coriobacteriales; Atopobiaceae.
CGAACGGCUGAGUAACACGUGGGCAACCUGCCCUUUGCACUGGGAUAGCCUCGGGAAACCGAGGUUAAUACCGGAUACUCCAUAUUUGUCGCAUGGCGAAUAUGGGAAAGCUCCGGCGGCAAAGGAUGGGCCCGCGGCCUGUUAGCUAGUUGGUGGGGUAGUGGCCUACCAAGGCAAUGAUGGGUAGCCGGCUUGAGAGAGUGUACGGCCACAUUGGGACUGAGACACGGCCCAGACUCCUACGGGAGGCAGCAGUC